Molecule: ribosomal RNA, 459 nt
Filed under: uncultured bacterium
Lineage: Bacteria
Description: partial 16S ribosomal RNA
Rfam family: Bacterial small subunit ribosomal RNA
Source: RNAcentral
CCUACGCGUGGCAGCAGUGAGGAAUAUUGGUCAAUGGGCGGAAGCCUGAACCAGCCAAGUCGCGUGAGGGAAGACGGUCCUAUGGAUUUUAAACCUCUUUUGUCGGGGAGCAAAAGACGCCACGCGUGGCGUUCCGAGAGUACCCGAAGAAAAAGUAUCGGCUAACUCCGUGCCAGCAGCCGCGGUAAUACGGAGGAUGCGAGCGUUAUCCGGAUUUAUUGGGUUUAACGGGUGCGCAGGCGGAAGAUCAAGUCAGCGGGAAAAUUGAGAGGCUCAACCUCUUCGAGCCGUUGAAACUGGUUUUCUUGAGUGAGAGAGAAGUAUGCGGAAUGCGUGGUGUAGCGAUGAAAUGCAUAGAUAUCACGCAGAACUCCGAUUGCGAAGGCAGCAUACCGGCGCUCAACUGACGCUCAUGCACGAAAGUGUGGGUAUCGAACAGGAUUAGAUACCCCUGUAGUC